This 423-nucleotide ribosomal RNA is filed under the name uncultured bacterium. RNAcentral's name for it is "bacterial SSU rRNA". It matches the Rfam family "Bacterial small subunit ribosomal RNA", at positions 123 to 541 of the family's 1533-position model. The record is from RNAcentral.
AAAUUGCCCUGAUGUGGGGGAUAACCAUUGGAAACGAUGGCUAAUACCGCAUAAUAGCUUCGGCUCAAAGAGGGGGACCUUCGGGCCUCUCGCGUCAGGAUAUGCCCAGGUGGGAUUAGCUAGUUGGUGAGGUAAUGGCUCACCAAGGCGACGAUCCCUAGCUGGUCUGAGAGGAUGAUCAGCCACACUGGAACUGAGACACGGUCCAGACUCCUACGGGAGGCAGCAGUGGGGAAUAUUGCACAAUGGGCGCAAGCCUGAUGCAGCCAUGCCGCGUGUAUGAAGAAGGCCUUCGGGUUGUAAAGUACUUUCAGCAGUGAGGAAGGUGGUGUCGUUAAUAGCGGCAUCAUUUGACGUUAGCUGCAGAAGAAGCACCGGCUAACUCCGUGCCAGCAGCCGCGGUAAUACGGAGGGUGCGAGCGU